AUGGCUGAUCUGAAAAUGUCAAAGGGGACCAAAGGUCAAAAUUUCCAUCAAUUAGGCCCUGGCUUGCUACCUAUCAUGUAAUUGGAUUCUCUAGCCCGUUAAUGCUGGCUACGCUACAGACAUUCAGCACAGCAGUUCCCCUGCAGCCCUGUUCCCCUGCCCCUCUCCUGAACUGCAGUGACUGUACGUGUAAGGAGAAGGAGUAUCUUCAAAGCUGCUUUCCCCCAGGAGAAAGAAGGAAAAGGACUCAGCAACGGGCAGGAGUAUCCACCCCAUCUGGCAUGUUUAUAAAGGUUGGAAGGACAGCCACAGCUCUCAAGUUGCCUGUUGAGACAUGGCAUGUUGAAAACAGGUCGUUGCACAGUGACAUGUGAUGGACAGUAGGAGAGAUGGCCCCAUUCAUCUAUUACCUCUAUUUCCUGCAGCUCUAAAUAAGCAGACCUUUCAGCAUGAGGAGUUCUGGCACCACCAGGAGGGGCUCAGCAGGGCAUUUUACCCGUGGAGGCUGAAACCGAACAGCAAGAGGAGCGUGGUCCUUCCCAUCAUUCAGCUUUCAGAAAGACCAAGACAUUCCAGGAUCAGAUAUGAUUAAAGGCCUGGGCAUUCAGUGUGCUAUGCACCUCAAAGCAUUUGAGGCAAAGAAGGAGGUGACAGGCAUGAGAAAGUCUGGAUGAAGGAGAUAAACCAGCAAGGAAGCCGGUUCCAUUCUUUUAUGAAGAGACAUCCUGAAGUCACUUGUGUAGUCAAACAUUCCUGCAAUGGCAAGUGCUGUGGAUCUGAGGAGACUUGUGGUUUGCAUCCUGAACUGGUCAAAAUGCGGCUGCUCUAUCCUGCAUGGGCAAGGGUAAGGAGUAGCCCUGAGAUACUUUAGAAGAGACAGCACGAUCUGGUGAUGGGAUGCAGAGGUCUGAAGUCUCCCUUUGUCUGUCAAGCAUGUGCUCUUCAGGUUUGGUGGUGGCCUGGAGGAAAGUUGAAGGGGAUGACUCCUACAUAAAGAUCAGUUCUGCCUCUUUGGUCUCUGCAAGUAGGGAGAUUGUGAUUUUAGAGCCUGGGAAGAUUCUUCCUCACUUCUGUGAAGCAGCACCACAUGUUGUCAGUGAAUUCUCUGCCUUGGCAGGGAUGUUGUGGGUGGAUGUCCUGAGACAGAAGUGUCUCUUUUCUAUGGAAUUUCAGGUGCACUGUGAGUUGAUAAACUCAGUUUCAGAUGAGAGUAAAGCAUUCCUACCAGCUUGUUUAAAUCAACAGAAAGGAAACGGUUGAUCUGCAGCCUACAAGAAGAUUCACGGACUAACUUCAGCAUUAUCAGAACAAUUUUAUCUGCAAAUUGCAGACUUGUCUUCUGCUUGUCUUCUGCUGGAGCUGGACCCUGCAGCUACCCUGACAGCAUCUGGACCCAAACUGCCCAAGCAGCAAGUCUCCCAGCUCAGCCAGCACCACAAGCCAGUGUCUGCCCCGCUAUAUCCAGCCCUGAUGGAUUGAAGUUCCCAGUGGCAGACCAGGCCACACAGCAGCUUCCAUGUGUGGGUGCUCCCUGCGAGUCCUUCUCAAUGGCAGUCUGAAUUCAGCUGUUCACAAACACAAAGUUGUGCUAUGGGAAGAUUACUGACGGCCGAUUGACAAGAACUGGGAUAUGGUGACCUGCAUACAAGGACAUUCUGAUAUCUUUGUUCUGGUGAAGCGAGGAGUCUGGAAUUGAACUGCAUGUAUCACACAGCAGGGCACAGGACAGCAUUCAGUCUCGUGCGUUGGUGCUUACCCACUUAGAGAGAGUAUGGAGGUGACACGUCCAUGUUAAGACCAAAAGUGCAAGUCCUGCUCGGAGGCUGGGACUGUUAUGAUUGCUGGACGAGGAUUUUGCUGCGCCAUUCAGCCCUACCCUUGGUGGCCUGCAUUCUGCAGUCUGGUUGGGUGCUAUGUACAGCAUGUCUUUGGUGAAUCACUUGUGACUCUACCCCUGUUGCUGGAUCUCAGGAUGGACGACCUUAGAGACUUUGCAGCCCACCUAAGCCUUCCUAAUUAACACAUUCUCAAGUUCUCUUUGCCUCCCUACUCAUGAUAUUUGUGGUAUUUCAUUGCUACAUCUUGUGGCAGUCAUCAGGGGACACUGCAAUUGGAAGUGGGGCUGUGCAUUGGAGAGGUAUGACAUUAUAAUUCCUCCAAUACACUGAAGUAAUGGACUGGCAUAUGUGGAUACUGGAGUUGAAAGUGACACCUGGCCUUUCAGGCUGUAGUCCCUGUAGAUGGGCCGUGAUGGCACACAUCUGGUUUUACAGUGAGGAAAAUAGCUGAUUGAAUCGAUACGCUCAACACAGCUGACUGGAGUAAAUAAGAAAGGAUUUGAAGGAAGCUUUGUGAUCCCCCAGAUGGACAAACCCACCCUCAGUGCUGCUGCAGUUGCCCAGAAGCCAGUGAAGUGAAUGAAGAAGGAAGAGCGGCCAAUAGAUUUCUUCACAAGGCAAGCUUCCGUGCUCUCUGUCCAUCACAACUUCAGCAAAGCCAGUGGUCCGGAUUCUGCAGAAAAGUGGGACCAUUACCCAACAGAAAAUACUUGGCUCUGGGAAGAGACAUGGAGGAAAUGUCUGACAGAUUUUUGUGACAGAGAGCAGCGCUCCCUUGGUGAGGAAGGAGUGAUGGACAUCCUCACUGUGGCCACUUUUGGUUAAGGAUGAAGCAGUGACUUUGAUGCAGGCAGAGGAGACUGCCACCUUGGGAACAAAACAAGUGACCGUGCAGUGGUUGAUGUCACCGAGGAACCAUUUCGUGCCCUUGAGCUUCAUUUAAGCUCUUCAUAUGAAUAAGAGCAAAAAUGUGUGCUAUGUACUGAAGGAGCAGCAAGUUCAGUCCAGAAAGCCCUGCCCUAAUUGGAAUUAAACUUCUGAUGAAUGGCAUGUAGGUAAGACUUACACGUUGGCCUGCCUGAAUUAUGUCAUGUCCUGAGAAUGAAAGAUACAGCUCUCUUUCUCUCAAUUGGAAAUCAGUUUAUUCUCCCACUGUCUUAUUGGAAGAAUGGGUCUGCUCAUCUUGCUCCCCUCUGCUUUUGCAUGAAGCUAUAUUUGUUCUGACAGCAAGUGUUAUGCUCCAAAGGUCAACCCUUAAAACAGCCAGCUACAUCUUGGAUGACACAACCUCAUCCUAAAAGCUAUGAGGAGCCCUUGGCAAUUGCAGCCAGAAUCUAAAGGGCAGUCUGUGGUCAGAAACAAAACCUUUUUUUGCUAAUACAAGCUACAGUCAAUUCUACCAGCUGUUUCCAGACUUUAGCAAGUGUUUCCUACUCAAAUGGAGAGAAUGGUUGAUGGGAACUGGACUAGAUACAGCCAUUCUAUCGAAUGGUCCAAUGUUACAACCACAGCAAAGUUGGAAAAGAUGCUGGAUGUCUCCAAUGCAGUAUGUACCAAAGUGCCAGAUGUUUGGGAUCCCUUAAGUCAUCUAACAGGCCUUCUCAAGGCAAUGUUACUCUUGAGUAUCUUGGUUCUCCUGUAAAAGCAUUAAAGUGAGCUAAUUUUAACUUUGAAUUAUGAGAUUUUCUCCAACAGAAGGUGUCCCUGAGGACACCAGGGUAGAUUUGAUUUCCAAAACGUUGCCUUUGUAUAUUUUAAACGGAGCAUCUGGAUGAAGUUCUAAUGGCCAGUUCAGACUGUCUGAUUUAUAGCAACAGCUGUUCACCUUUGUAGAUGGGGAGAUUCACAGAGAUACAGAACACAUUUAUGAACUUGAUAUUCUGUGCCAAAGGUCAGGGUUUUUUGCCUCAGUUUUGUGCAGGUGUAAAUCUAGAUAGGCUCCUGUGAAGUCAGUGAAAUUGCUCCAUGAAAGGCAUGGAAAUUGGAGUUACAGGAAAUAGCAGAUCAGUUAUUUCUUUCUCAAGUAGACUGAAUUUUAGAACCCACAGCAAAUGGAAAGUGGUUAGGGUUGAAAAAUACACUGGAGUAGUGAUAGGGUGUACCUCUGAGUGAUGGGGAAAAUGUUAAUUCCUUCAAGGGGAGCGACCUCUUCACAUGGCUUUCAGAUGGCAACCAGAAAGCCCAGCAUUAGGAAGCAGAAAAAAUGAAAGAAUAAUAACAGGGAAGGUAUCCUGGAUGUCCUGUUGUACCUUUGUAAUAUUUUAAUUCCCAUUUCAAAAGGUAAAGCUUCUACUGUGUGAAACUUCAUGCAAGUAUUUCUUUAGUAGUUGAUGAUUCCAAAUUUAAAAGGGGCUGGGGGAGAACACCUGCUUUUAGACAAGUGUAUCAGCACUCUUUUCAUCUUUGUAGCUUUUUAUUAUUAUUUUUUUCCUUUUCCCCAAUAAAAAAACAAUGCUUCAGAUUUCUCCAUGACACUUUUUUGUUUGAGUUGAGCAGAUACUUUCUGCUUUCAAAAUAAUAAAUGUUUUGACAAGAAAAAAAGAAGUUAAGUGCCUCCAGAUCCUACACAAGAUCCAACCUAAACUUAUCUUUGGGGGCUUGGUUAUGCUUUCCUAAGACAAAGUGUUUCUGGAGCAUUAGAAGCCAAGUGAAGAAUCAAGGCCAUAUAACUUUAUUAUUACCAAAUCUGCUGUGUUUCACACAUUCACACUCUCUUCUCUUUCAGCUACUCAAUCCACCUCUAUGUUUUCCAUAAAAUACUCUCAAAGCUGAGCUGCUGGUGCCAGCUCUGAUCUAAAAAGCUGUGACGAUUGAGAGUCCUGCAUAUCCAUAUCCC
Molecule: long non-coding RNA, 4674 nt
Organism: Lagopus muta (rock ptarmigan)
Lineage: Eukaryota; Metazoa; Chordata; Aves; Galliformes; Phasianidae
Exons: 15
Source: RefSeq, a predicted model, not a curated record